RNAcentral lists this ribosomal RNA (1817 nucleotides) under Aculus broussonetiae. RNAcentral's name for it is "bacterial SSU rRNA". It matches the Rfam family "Eukaryotic small subunit ribosomal RNA", at positions 56 to 1449 of the family's 1831-position model. The record is from RNAcentral. Lineage: Eukaryota; Metazoa; Arthropoda; Arachnida; Trombidiformes; Eriophyidae.
UGUAAAGUUCAAGCUCCGAUUAUGAGGGCGAACCGCGAAUGGCUCAUUAAAUCAGUCAUAAUCUACUUGAUUGUUUCAAGUUUAUAUGGAUAACUGUGGUAAUUCUAGAGCUAAUACAUGCACAAAAGGGACGACUCUCACGCAAAGGGGAGAAGUUCUGCGUUUAUUAGACUAAGACCAAUGAGCUACUUCGGUAACUCUCAAUCUAAGGUGACUCUGAGUAAAUAAUGGGUGAAAGCCCAUGUUGCUGACCUGACAUACCAAAAGGCCUAAACAGCCUGUCAGGCAAAUCAAUCGAGUGUCUGCUCUAUCAACUGUGGAUGGUAGGGUAAUUGCCUACCAUGGUGAUGACGGGUAACGGGGAGUUAGGGCUCGACUCCGGAGAACAAGCCUGAGAAACGGCUAGUAGGACUAAGGUCUGCAGCAGGCGCGAAACUUACACAAUGCUAGAUUACGACAUAGCGAUGUAGUGAAGAAAAAUAACGAUGUACUUACAUUUAAACAUGUUAGUACAAUUGGAAUGAGACGACUCUAAACCAGUCAGUCGAGUAACAAAUGGAGGGCAAGUCUGGUGCCAGCAGCCGCGGUAAUUCCAGCUCCAUUAGCAUACAUUAAAGUUGUUGCGGUUAAAAAGCUCGUAGUUGAAUUUCGGGCGGGCUCUAUUGGGAUGCAACCGUCAAGGUCUCCAACGUUGGUUCGCCCAUAUUGGCAGACUGGUUGUAUUUUCCUUAUAGGAACCCGUUGUUUCGUCACUUAAUCGAGUGCGAAGCGGGCUGGUACUAUAAUAAACUUCGGUUUUUAAGUAACAGCAUGUUUACCUUGAGAAAAUUAGAGUGCUCACAGCAGGCAGUUGGGGUGUAAAAACCCCUUUAUGCUUGAAUAAUGUUGCAUGGAAUAAUAGAAUACGGCCUCGGUUCUAUUCUGUUGGUCUUAUAGAACAACAAAAAAGUUGAUUAAAGCGAUCAAAAGUCCUUUUUGAGUGUGGCUUUGUAUUGUAUGGGUCAACCAAAUCAAACAGGUACUGUUGUCUAGGGCUUUAAAUCUUAGUACCUUGCCUGUCUUGAAUCUUGGUCCCCAUGCUUGCAUUGUCAUCUAAAGCACUCUUAAUGUGGCUAGCUUUCUAAUCAACUGAGGCAAUGGUUAAAAGAAAUAGUCGCGGCGGCAUCAGUACUGCAUCGUGAGAGGUGAAAUUCUUAGACCGAUGCAAGACUAACUGAAGCGAAAGCGUUUGCCGAGGAUAUUUUCAUUAAUCAAGAACGAAAGUUAGAGGUUCGAAGGCGAUCAGAUACCGCCCUAGUUCUAACCAUAAACGUUGCCAACUAGCAAUUGGGUUGCGAUUCCUUUAAUCGAAGCCUAAAAAACUUCGAUCAUUAUGAUCCACCCAGCGGCUCUCGUAGGGAAACCAAAGUGUUUGGGUUCCGGGGGAAGUAUGAUUGCAAAGUUGAAACUUAAAGGAAUUGACGGAAGGGCACCACCAGGAGUGGAGCCUGCGGCUUAAUUUGACUCAACACGGGGAAACUUACUAGAUUAGAACUCUGGAAUGAUUGACAGAUUGAUAGCUCUUUCUUGAUUCAGAGGAUGGUGGUGCAUGGCCGUUCUUGAUUCGUAUUCCGAAACGUCUGCUUAAUUGCGAUAACGAGUGAGACCUCACCCAACUAACUAGUCGUUUGGUGCGCUGUGGAACGUAAAAGUCUGCGUAAGUUCAGUCUUGGUUAUAGCGGGGCAACUCGUGGAUCAAGGCUCCUUGCGUUAGAUGUUCUCUGCUCGCCAGCGGACUUCUUAGAGGGAUAAACGGUGUUUUAGCCGUAAGAAACGAG